AGUGGGCUGGAGUUGAGCAGAGUUCCCUUCUCCUAGCUAGGGGCAUACUCUGGAGUACGCAAAUCCAACAGUCCCAACAGAGGAAAGCAGCUUCCUGUAUAGUUGGCCUGAGAGGUUAACUUCUUGUCAGAGUUUUACAUGAAUUAUUUUUAUGGUGGAAAUAGAUCUAAAUGUUCCACCAAAAAUGAUUUUUAUCAGGAACUGUCACAGCCACCUCAACCUUUAGCAACCACCACUGUUCAACGCAACAUCCUUCAACAACAGAAAGAUUGACUCACUGUAGGCUCAGACAUGGGGCCUCACUACGUUUCACAGGCUGGUCUAAAACUCCUGAGCUCCAGGGAUCUGCCUGCCUCUGCUUCCCAAAGUGGUGGGAUUGCAGGCAUGAGCUAUCAUGCCCGGCCUGCUCUGAGUUUUAAGUAAAAAUUUAAAUGCUCUUCUCUA
RNAcentral lists this small RNA (444 nucleotides) under Pongo abelii (Sumatran orangutan). RNAcentral describes it as "processed transcript". Lineage: Eukaryota; Metazoa; Chordata; Mammalia; Primates; Hominidae. The record is from RNAcentral.